UCCCACCUCGUGGACGUGAAUCCGCGUUCCCCGCGGGCUCGGGCUCCUCUGCGCGGGGCUGGCACCCGCCUGGGGCCGCAGUGCCGAGUGGAGGACGCCUGGAGAGCCCGGAGCGGAGCCGCCAGAGGGAAAAGCACAGAUGAGAGAUAUUUGUUGGCCUGAAGCCAUCCUUACCCACUGAGACCAGCAUCACAUCUCUGUAGAGGUUCUUCUGCACAGAAUCCAGCAAAGACCACUCCUCCAAGGUGAAGUCCACAGCCACAUCCUCAAAGACCACUGAGUCCUGACAUAUUCAAGUGUGUGGAGGAAGAAGGACUCUUCUUUUGCGACUCCGGCCAUACUCUCUGCAACAUCUGGUGUAGUCGGCAGGAUACAGUGCGGCAAACAGUUUUCGAGACUACUUUUGGUUUACAGUCGCAAAGGACCAAAGUGGAGCGGUAGGACAGACAGAGAUACCUGGCUUCUAGCCUGGCGAUCAAAACCACGAUAUGAACAGUUGGACGAAGAGAAAAAGAUUCGACAGUUUUUGACCACUGGAGGAAGAUAUGGAAGAAUUAAGCCUGGAACCCAAGAUUAUAAGGAAGGUAGAAAUAAGAACCAAAAAUACAAUGAGAGCCAAACCUCCAACAUGGGGACAAGUGAAGAUGACUCAAGAAGCCUAACAGAUCCUCCAAAAAAUGGGAACACUUAAGACUUCUACUCUGUUUAUUGCCAUGAUGUCGGUUGUUCCUUUAACUGGGAGUGCUAAAGAGAAUCACACAUAGUGGGCUUAUAUUCCAAAUCCACCUCUUAAUAGAUUAAUUGCAUAGGAUGAUCCCUCUUUCCAGGCUUACGUAAAUGAUUCAGUCUGGUUGCCUGGACCUUAUGAUAAUAGAGGUCCAUUUAAACCAGAAGAAGAAGGAAAAGUAAUCCCUAAAUAUUCUGUAGGUGCAGAGGGGCCACCUAUAUGCUUUGGAACAGGUGACCACUGUGUUUCAUUUAUAGGCAUGGAUAGCAGAAAUACCCAAUGGGACUAAUGUCCCCAUACUGUAUUUACUACAAGGGGUCUGCAUGAGAAGUCAAAAAACUACAUACAAUUACCCUCCUAAAUUGCCUCGAUGUCAAGAAAAACCAUAAAUCCUGAGGAACGGAUUAAUUGGGAGCUCUGUAGAGGAGAAGUUGGUAGAGUUCUUCUUAAUACUUCCAAAGGAAACGUCGUCAUUGAUUGGGCCCCUGUAGGCUCUGCUCAGACCAAAUACUCCAAAAAAGAGCUCUGAUGGUGUCGAUAUCAUGACAUCCUUUCAGAUAUAACAUCUGAACCCACUGUAUGGCAUGAAGGAGGGAUGACUCCCCCCCAGCCCACGUUUACCUGAUGGGCCAGUUCAUUCCGAGCUUUGGAAAAUUGGUACUGGAUCAUUAGGCACGUCCUCUUGGAAAGGCUGCUUAAUGUCUCAAGUAAAUUCUCCCUCUUUUUUAGAUUAAAUGAGACUCAUAAAACUCAA
Neofelis nebulosa (Clouded leopard) is the source of this 1481-nucleotide long non-coding RNA. RefSeq lists it as uncharacterized. Lineage: Eukaryota; Metazoa; Chordata; Mammalia; Carnivora; Felidae. The record is from RefSeq and is a predicted model, not a curated record. The transcript is spliced from 4 exons.